GUUUGUACAAAUUAUUUACAACCUUAUAAUGCUGAGUCAUAGAGGAUAAGAAAAGAACAAAACAGAGUUACAGUUUCACUAGUGAUGACAUGUUUCCAUAAGAAGCUGGAAUCUCGGAAUGGCUGAAAUUGUUGUUAUCAAGUUGUCUGCAUAAGAAAAUUCAGAACUUCAUCAUAAAUUUCAACCCAUCCGCUUCUCAGUGGAGCUGCAAAUGGCAUCGCAGUUAUUGUAUGACAAGGAUUACUAUAUAACAAGCAAAGAUUAUCGAUGAAUUUUAUAAAGAUUAAUCACAAAAAUAUUAAAACUAUCAAACUUUGAAUCCCUAGUUUUAAAAAUGUAAUGGAUUCAGUGGCAAGAAUGUAAAGAUUGAAACCAUCAAACUUAAAAUCAUAAAUGUACCUGUCUACAUCCAACAUAAAGUAUAUCUCCAUCAUAGCCAAAUGAUUAUCUAGAUCUCCUCGAUGAGAUAGUUCAGGGUUCAAAGCAUUCGGGGAAACAUGUAGGGUGACUGCAAAAUCAAGAAGAUGGGACCAAAAAAUAUGGAUCAAAUUUCGUUCAACUUACAAAAGUUUCAAAGACUUGAUGUAGACUCCCAGUCAAAUCAUUCCACAUGAAAUUCCUUUCAGAAAGAGAAUUA
This 637-nucleotide long non-coding RNA is filed under the name Solanum tuberosum (potato). Its description in RNAcentral is "long non-coding RNA (STUB_LNC008767)". The record is from RNAcentral. Lineage: Eukaryota; Viridiplantae; Streptophyta; Magnoliopsida; Solanales; Solanaceae.